This 592-nucleotide unclassified non-coding RNA is filed under the name Zea mays. RNAcentral's name for it is "misc RNA Zm00001eb090660". The record is from RNAcentral. Lineage: Eukaryota; Viridiplantae; Streptophyta; Magnoliopsida; Poales; Poaceae.
CACCUGUUCACAAUCGCCUGGGGCCGCGCGUCCAUUUCAGCUCGGCAGCUGGCAGAGUUCUCCCAACUGAUGCGGUUAAUGCUCUGGUGGCGCCUGCAAACCCCUCAGUCUCUUCCUUAAUGGCAGUUGAUGCCUCGUUUCCGACGUUGAUUGCACUAGUUGAUGAUGCCUCGUUUCCGACACUGGUUGGACCAGUUGAUGCGCCAGCUCUCCCUGAUGCUUCGGUUGUAGAGCUGGCGGUGCCUGGAUCUACCUUGUUUCCUGUGAUGGUGGGGCCAGCUACUGUGUCAAAUCUCCUUGAUGCUUCGGGUGCAGAGUAGGCCGCGUGUGGAGGGUUCUCGUCUCUAUUGAUGCCGCAGAUUACCCCUUGAAGACUGUUCGGCUCUAUUGAGCUGCUCCCUCACGGAGUCCCAGAUAUCAGCUUCUACACCUGUUCAAUCUCGCCUAGGGACACGCGUACAUUUAUGCUCGGCGGCUGGCAGACCAGUUAAUAAACCAGUUCUCCUAGCUGGUGGGGUUAUUGCUUUGGUGGCGCCUGCUAACCCCUCGGUUUCUUCCUUAAUGGCAGUGGAUGCCUCAUUUCCGACGUUGG